Molecule: long non-coding RNA, 499 nt
Organism: Ictalurus punctatus (channel catfish)
Lineage: Eukaryota; Metazoa; Chordata; Actinopteri; Siluriformes; Ictaluridae
Source: Ensembl
GGAUGCUGUGACUGAGGCUGAGGAGAAGAUUCAGAAGCUUGUGGUGUCCAAUACUCAGCUGGAGGAGAGAGUGAGGGAGCUGGAGGAACUGCUCUGUGAGGCAUGCAGAGAUGACAUGAAAAGCAAGGUCUCCCUGGCUGAAGCUGAGGAGAAACAUCAGAUGGCUGUGGAGACCAUUGCUCAGCUGAAGGUGGAGAAGUCUAGCCUGACAGACCAGGUGGAGACACCGCAAGGAACAGUGCAGUACAUGGGGAACCUGCUCCAUCCUGUUGAGGUGGAGAAGUCUAGCCUGAAAGACCAGGUGGAGACACUGCGAGGAACAGUGCAGGACAUGGAGAACAUGUUAUCUGAGACUCACACAGAGCGUGACAAGCUAAUGAAUGAGUGUGAGUGUGAGCGGGAGGAUCACAACAUCCUCAAGUACGAGUACGAGGAGAUGAAGGAGACUCUCAAUAACAAGGAGGAGUUACUGAAGGUCUCCCUGUCUGAAGCUGAGGAG